Molecule: long non-coding RNA, 491 nt
Organism: Rosa rugosa (rugosa rose)
Lineage: Eukaryota; Viridiplantae; Streptophyta; Magnoliopsida; Rosales; Rosaceae
Exons: 3
Source: RefSeq, a predicted model, not a curated record
GAUUCUUGAAGGGAUUCUGCACUUCUGAGGAUGUAGAUCAUUUUCCCUAAGAUGGAUUGCAUCGAUUUCAUGUGUGGAGAUCGAAUUGGAACGAAUUCAAAACUAGGGUUCUUCGGGUUUCAAACCUUAUGAGGUGAUUGACGGUCUCCCUUGGGUGAACGAUUUCGGUGUGUAUUGUGUUGAAUUGAAGAUGCAGCGGGAAUAUCGAGCGGGUAAUCCUGCAGGUCAGGAGAAUCAGGGCGGUGAUCGAGCGGGUUAGAGUAUUUGUUAUAGUUUUACAGCAUUUGUAAUAGUGAGGUGAGUUAAGCUCAUUGAGCCUUACAAUUUGAUUUGGUGAGAGUGUGUUGUAAUAAUUAACUUGAGGAUUUGAUUUAUUGUAAUAUUGAGAGGUGUGAAGUGUGGUUGUUUGUGAGAAAAAAAUUCAGGACGUUAAUUGUAAUUGUUAUUAUUCAUGUUUCGGAUUUGAAUUGAUUAUUCAAAAUUCGGGGCGU